This 77-nucleotide ribosomal RNA is filed under the name Vibrio penaeicida. RNAcentral's name for it is "partial 16S ribosomal RNA". It matches the Rfam family "Bacterial small subunit ribosomal RNA", at positions 1112 to 1188 of the family's 1533-position model. The record is from RNAcentral. Lineage: Bacteria; Pseudomonadati; Pseudomonadota; Gammaproteobacteria; Vibrionales; Vibrionaceae.
UGUUUGCCAGCACGUAAUGGUGGGAACUCCAGGGAGACUGCCGGUGAUAAACCGGAGGAAGGUGGGGACGACGUCAA